RNAcentral lists this ribosomal RNA (897 nucleotides) under Heteroradulum deglubens. Its description in RNAcentral is "eukaryotic LSU rRNA". It matches the Rfam family "Eukaryotic large subunit ribosomal RNA", at positions 79 to 968 of the family's 3401-position model. Lineage: Eukaryota; Fungi; Basidiomycota; Agaricomycetes; Auriculariales; Auriculariaceae. The record is from RNAcentral.
CCUAGUAACGGCGAGUGAAGCGGGAAGAGCUCAAAUUUGAAAUCUGGCGGUCUACGGCCGUCCGAGUUGUAAUCUAGAGAGGUGUUUUCCGUGCCGGACCGUGUACAAGUCCCUUGGAACAGGGCGUCAUAGAGGGUGAGAAUCCCGUCCAUGACACGGACUACCGGUGCUCUGUGAUACACCUUCGAAGAGUCGAGUUGUUUGGGAAUGCAGCUCAAAAUGGGUGGUAAAUUCCAUCUAAAGCUAAAUACAGGCGAGAGACCGAUAGCGAACAAGUACCGUGAGGGAAAGAUGAAAAGAACUUUGGAAAGAGAGUUAAACAGUACGUGAAAUUGUUGAAAGGGAAACGCUUGAAGUCAGUCGCGUCUGUCAGGACUCAGCCUUGCUUCUGCAUGGUGCAUUUCCUGGUGGAUGGGCCAGCAUCGAUUUUGGUCGCCGGAAAAGGGCGGGAGGAAUGUGGCAGCUUGCUGUGUUAUAGCCUCCUGUCGUACACGGUGGUUGGGAUCGAGGACUGCAGCACGCCUUUGGUCGGGGUUCGCCCACGCCACGUGCUUAGGAUGCUGGCGUAAUGGCUUUAAGCGACCCGUCUUGAAACACGGACCAAGGAGUCUAACAUGCCUGCGAGUGUUUGGGCGUUAAACCCAGGCGCGUAAUGAAAGUGAAAAGUUGGGACUCUUUAGUGAGGCACCGACGCCCGAUCCUGACGUUCUCUGACGGAUUUGAGGUAGAGCAUGUAUGUUGGGACCCGAAAGAUGGUGAACUAUGCCUGAAUAGGGUGAAGCCAGAGGAAACUCUGGUGGAGGCUCGUAGCGAUUCUGACGUGCAAAUCGAUCGUCAAUUUGGGUAUAGGGCGAAAGACUAAUCGAANCCAUCUAGUAGCUGGUUCCUGCCGAAGUU